This 498-nucleotide ribosomal RNA is filed under the name uncultured bacterium. Its description in RNAcentral is "partial 16S ribosomal RNA". It matches the Rfam family "Bacterial small subunit ribosomal RNA", at positions 28 to 507 of the family's 1533-position model. The record is from RNAcentral.
GACGAACGCUGGCGGCGUGCCUAAUACAUGCAAGUCGAACGAGAGCGACCGGUGCUUGCACUGGUCAAUCUAGUGGCGAACGGGUGAGUAACACGUGGGUAACCUGCCCAUCAGAGGGGGAUAACAUCCGGAAACGGAUGCUAAAACCGCAUAGGUCUUCGAGCCGCAUGGCUUGAAGAGGAAAAGAGGCGCACGCUUCUGCUGAUGGAUGGACCCGCGGUGCAUUAGCUAGUUGGUGAGGUAACGGCUCACCAAGGCCGUGAUGCAUAGCCGACCUGAGAGGGUGAUCGGCCACAUUGGGACUGAGACACGGCCCAAACUCCUACGGGAGGCAGCAGUAGGGAAUCUUCCGCAAUGGACGCAAGUCUGACGGAGCAACGCCGCGUGAGUGAAGAAGGUUUUCGGAUCGUAAAACUCUGUUGUUAGAGAAGAACAAGUGCUAGAGUAACUGUUAGCGACUUGACGGUAUCUAACCAGAAAGCCACGGCUAACUACGUG